AACGAACGCUGGCGGCGUGGCUAAGGCAUGCAAGUCGAACGGACCAGGUGGAAGGCAACGGAAGCCUGGUUAGUGGCGGACGGGUGAGUAAUGCAUGGACAAUGUACCCUGGACACGGGGAUAGCGGCGGAGACUUCGGUCUCCUUUGCGAAAGUGCCGGUAAUACCUGAUAAUACCGUAUGGUCGCAUGGCUGUGCGGUCAAAGCUCCGGCGGUCUGGGAUCGGUCCAUGUCCUAUCAGCUGGUUGGUGGGGUAACGGCCUACCAAGGCAUCGACGGGUAGCGGGCGUGAGAGCGCGACCGCCACAUCGGGACUGAGACACGGCCCGGACACCUACGGGUGGCUGCAGCAACGAAUCUUCCGCAAU
This 367-nucleotide ribosomal RNA is filed under the name uncultured bacterium. RNAcentral describes it as "bacterial SSU rRNA". It matches the Rfam family "Bacterial small subunit ribosomal RNA", at positions 28 to 372 of the family's 1533-position model. The record is from RNAcentral.